RNAcentral lists this transfer RNA (74 nucleotides) under Verrucomicrobiota bacterium. Its description in RNAcentral is "Verrucomicrobia bacterium (freshwater metagenome) tRNA-Pro". It matches the Rfam family "tRNA". Rfam says of the family: Transfer RNA (tRNA) molecules are approximately 80 nucleotides in length. Their secondary structure includes four short double-helical elements and three loops (D, anti-codon, and T loops). The record is from RNAcentral. Lineage: Bacteria; Pseudomonadati; Verrucomicrobiota. RNAcentral also lists the same sequence under 1 other name.
CGGGCCGUAGCACAGCUUGGUAGUGCGCUUGUUUCGGGUACAAGAGGUCCAGGGUUCAAAUCCCUGCGGCCCGA